This 91-nucleotide transfer RNA is filed under the name Pseudodesulfovibrio piezophilus C1TLV30. RNAcentral's name for it is "tRNA-SeC (TAA) (tRNA-SeC-TAA-1-1)". The record is from RNAcentral. Lineage: Bacteria; Pseudomonadati; Thermodesulfobacteriota; Desulfovibrionia; Desulfovibrionales; Desulfovibrionaceae.
GCAAAAAGAUGCAAAAACCUUGCUUUGGUCUUAAAAACCAAUGUACGGCAGUGAUGUCGUAGGCAGAUUCGACUCCUGUACACUUCCGCCA